RNAcentral lists this long non-coding RNA (709 nucleotides) under Prunus persica (peach). RNAcentral's name for it is "long non-coding RNA (PPER_LNC002526)". Lineage: Eukaryota; Viridiplantae; Streptophyta; Magnoliopsida; Rosales; Rosaceae. The record is from RNAcentral.
AGGGUGUUGUUAUCUUCCGGCCUCCAAUCCAUAUGUAAGGGAUGUGGCUUACAGAUCUUGAGAUUCAUUAUGCUAAGUGAUGUAAGAUAAGGGGGGAAUCCCCCUUCUCACGGAGAAAGAUUUCCUUGUUGUUGUAGAAGGUGUUGAUGAUCAAACUCAGAAGCUGGUUGAUCUCAUGGAUCACGACUCGAGUCCACCUCCUGAGUUGUAAAACAACGUUGUCGAGGUUGGUGUAUCCCGCUCUUCAAAGAAAAGCUUCUUCAAUGGCGGUCGCAGAUAGGAAGACGAAGCGGCAGCCCCUCUAGCUCUGGAAGCUUCGUUGUCAUCAGCGUUGGAGAACAGGUGAUCCCGGUUGAAAAUCUAGAACACAGGACAGAUCUGGCCAUUUUAGAAUAUAUCGUCGGUGAAAAUCGGCGAUCCGUUAGGUGCGAAAGAGAAAUCGUCUUCAUCUUCGUUCUUCUCGCAAUCACCACCGACGUCGGUGUUCUGAACACCUUCAUCCGGUAAUUGACACCUCAAAUCUACAGAGUAGCCACAGAAUUCCGCAAGCUUAAUCAUUAACUCUGUUCAUAUAAAAAAUGGAAAUUAGCACCAAAUUCAAUGAAGAAACUAAAAUCGAGUUGAAAUUCAAGUAAAUUAAGCAAAAAUAAAAAGAAAAUUAACGAAUUGAAGCAGAUGGAACAAACCUGCAAAGGAAAUGGAGGCAUCG